This 1197-nucleotide unclassified non-coding RNA is filed under the name Hevea brasiliensis (rubber tree). The record is from RNAcentral. Lineage: Eukaryota; Viridiplantae; Streptophyta; Magnoliopsida; Malpighiales; Euphorbiaceae.
GGAACUUUUAUCUUGGAGUGGGAUGAAGGGAAACAUAUUGCCAAUAAAUUAUUGUCAUCAAAGAACUCAGCUCAGAUGUAUGCAGAGAGGUUAAGUGAGCUUGCUGCUGCUUUAGGCUUUGAUGGAUGGCUGGUCAAUAUGGAAGUUUCCCUGGAUGUCGGGCAAAUUCCUAACCUGAAAGAAUUUGUCAGCCACUUAACUCAGUCCAUGCAUUCCCUUGUCCCUGGAUCUUUGGUCAUAUGGUAUGAUAGCGUCACAAUUGAUGGGAAACUUAGUUGGCAAGAUCAACUAAACGAAAAAAACAAGCCCUUUUUUGAUAUAUCUGAUGGUAUAUUUGUAAACUACACUUGGCGGGAGAAUUACCCUAAGCUCUCAGCUGAGGUUGCUGUUGACAGGAAGUUCGAUGUUUACAUGGGAAUUGAUGUCUUUGGAAGAAACACUUAUGGUGGUGGACAAUGGACGACAAAUUUGGCACUUGAUGUGAUUAAGAGGGAUAAUGUGUCAGCUGCCAUAUUUGCUCCUGGAUGGGUGUAUGAGACAAAACAACUACCUGACUUUCAAACUGCACAGAACCGUUGGUGGGCACUUGUAGAAAAAUCAUGGGAUAUCUCACAAAAUUACCCCCAAAUUCUUCCGUUCUACUCUAAUUUUGAUCAGGGUCAUGGUUACCAGUUUACAGUCGAUGGAAAGCAAAUGUCACAGACUCCUUGGAACAACAUUUCGUCCCAAAGCUUUCAGCCUUUCCUGAGGUUUUCUGGAGAAUCAACUGGAGGGAAUCUAAAAGUUGCUGUUGAUAUCAAGGAGCCAUCUUAUAAUGGAGGAGGGAACCUAACAUUCAAUGGAACACUUGAGGGUGAUUUUCAAUUCUCAGCAAGGUUGUUUGAAGGGAAGCUUCUGUUAGCAGAUUCACCUGUUCAUUUUACAUAUUCUGUAAAAUCAAAUGGAAGCUCUCUGUUGGGCUUAUCUCUUGAGUUCACUUCUGCUGCCACGGAGCAAAAAUCAGUAUUACUUGCUUCUUCGGGUGAUUCUUUGCUGACUAUGAGUCGUUUUGUUAGACAUUUUGACAAUGUUAUAAUGCCUCAUCGUGUUACUAAAUUAGAGAGUGAAUCAUCAUGGGUCAUACAAGAAAGUAGUAUAUCAAUGGAAGGAUAUACAUUAACAAAAAUCCAUGCUGUAUGCUAUAAAUUAAGACCUGAA